Molecule: long non-coding RNA, 584 nt
Filed under: Homo sapiens (human)
Lineage: Eukaryota; Metazoa; Chordata; Mammalia; Primates; Hominidae
Description: HSALNT0387623
Source: RNAcentral
CUUUUUGAAGCGCCGCCGGCGCCGCAGGAAGCUGCCGUUCUCGAACAUGUUGUAGGAGUCCGGGUCCAGGGUCCAGUAACUGCCCUUGCCGGGCUUCUUGUCGUCGCGGGGCACCUUGACGAAGCACUCGUUGAGCGAGAGGUUGUGGCGGAUGCUGUUCUGCCAGCCCUGCUUGUUCUCCCGGUAGAAGGGGAAGCGGUCCAUGAUGAACUGGUAGAUGCCGUUCAAGGUUUCCUUGCACCCUUCCUGGCUGUUCAUCGGCUGCGUAUUCGAUUCUCAGCAAAAGGAUGUUGAGACAACCCACCAGGCCUCUUCGCUUCGGCCUCUUCGCUUCGGGGAGGCGACUAGAAGGCAAUGGGGCGUGCCACUUAUUUCCAAUAAAAGAACAGAAGACGAAAAUGUAGAUGCAUUAUCUUUGUCUCCUGAUCAAUUCAAAGCCAAAGGGAAGCUACAAAUCAGGUUCCUUUACCUUGAAUAUUCCACUUCUGAAACAUUGUUUUUAUGAGUAUUCUGGGCUCUUUUUCUAACCUGAUCCUUUUUCUUCUUUCUUUGAAACAAAGUAAAAUAAAGCUGCCCAGUUCUCA